ACGGUCUCCUUUCGGGAGAUAGUGGCGGAAGGGUUAGUAAUACAUAAACAAUCUGCCUUUAACCUGGGAAUAACGACUGGAAACGGUCGCUAAUACCGAAUGAAGUGGCACAGGGCAUCCUGUUGCUAUAAAAGUGGGGGACCAGCAAUGGCCUUGCGGUUGAAGAGGAGUUUAUGGGAUAUCAGCUUGUUGGGGAGGUAACGGCUCACCAAGC
RNAcentral lists this ribosomal RNA (214 nucleotides) under uncultured Chlamydiales CRG39. Its description in RNAcentral is "partial 16S ribosomal RNA". It matches the Rfam family "Bacterial small subunit ribosomal RNA", at positions 66 to 273 of the family's 1533-position model. Lineage: Bacteria; Pseudomonadati; Chlamydiota; Chlamydiia; Chlamydiales. The record is from RNAcentral.